Long non-coding RNA from Chelonia mydas (Green sea turtle), 539 nucleotides. RefSeq lists it as uncharacterized. NCBI's taxonomy places the organism in Eukaryota, Metazoa, Chordata, Testudines, Cheloniidae. The record is from RefSeq and is a predicted model, not a curated record. The transcript has 3 exons.
UUCUUUUUGCGAAUACAGACUAACACGGCUGUUACUCUGAAACCUGUGAUGAGAAAACAAUCGCUCUCUCAAUUUUGUGAGGGGAUAGUGUUAAGUUCUCAUCUUUUACAUUUUUUAAAUUGAGAAUAGCAUCUAGGUUUCCCGACUCCCAGUCCUGUGCUUUAACAAGGUCAUCUUUUCCUCUCAAGAAGCUCAGAGUAACUUUCAGCUCAUCGCUUACGUGGAAUACUGUCUGUCAGCUCAUUCAAAAGAGUUCUAAAGCUUCAAAAUCUAAAGUCUCUAAAAAGAUCCAUUUCAGCUUCUUGGGAAAAAAGAAUUGAACAUCAUAUCUGCAGAGCAGUAACCUGAGCUUCAUCUCAUCCCAGCAUAAAGUACUAUAAAGAAGCUGUUUCUUCCUUAACUAAGCCCUGGUCUACACUAGGAGUUGAGGUCGAAUUUAGCAGUGUUAAAUCGAUUUAACCCUGUACCCGUCCACAUGACGAAGCCCUUUUUUUUUUUUUUUUUUUUUUUACUUAAAGGGCUCUUAAAAUCGAUUUCCU